RNAcentral lists this ribosomal RNA (253 nucleotides) under uncultured bacterium. RNAcentral describes it as "partial 16S ribosomal RNA". It matches the Rfam family "Bacterial small subunit ribosomal RNA", at positions 524 to 776 of the family's 1533-position model. The record is from RNAcentral.
UACAGGGGGGGCAAGCGUUGUUCGGAAUUACUGGGCGUAAAGGGCCAGUAGGCGGCCAACUAAGUCCGACGUGAAAUCCCAAGGCUUAACCUUGGAACUGCGUCGGAUACUGGAUGGCUUGAAUUCGGGAGAGGGAUGCAGAAUUCCAGGUGUAGCGGUGAAAUGCGUAGAUAUCUGGAGGAACACCGGUGGCGAAGGCGGCAUUCUGGACUGCAACUGACACUGAAAGACGAAAGCCAGGGGAGCAAACGGG